This 494-nucleotide ribosomal RNA is filed under the name uncultured bacterium. Its description in RNAcentral is "partial 16S ribosomal RNA". It matches the Rfam family "Bacterial small subunit ribosomal RNA", at positions 28 to 523 of the family's 1533-position model. The record is from RNAcentral.
GAUGAACGCUAGCGGCAGGCUUAACACAUGCAAGUCGAGGGGUAGAGGCUUUCGGGCCUUGAGACCGGCGCACGGGUGCGUAACGCGUAUGCAAUCUGCCUUUCACAGAGGGAUAGCCCAGAGAAAUUUUGAUUAAUACCUCAUAGCAUUUGAGAAGGGCAUCCUUUUCCAAUUAAAGUCACAAUGAAGAAAGAUGAACAUGUGUGCCAUUAACUAGUUGGUAAGGUAACGGCUUACCAAGGAUACGAUGGGUAGGGGGCCUGUGAGGGAGAUCCCCCACACUGGUACUAAGACACGGACCAGACUCCUACGGGAGGCAGCAGUGAGUAAUAUUGGUCAAUGGGCGCAAGCCUGAACCAGCCAUGCCGCGUGCAGGAUAACGGUCCUAUGGAUUGUAAACUGCUUUUGUACGAGAAGAAACACUGAUUCGUGAAUCAGCUUGACGGUACCGUAAGAAUAAGGAUCGGCUAACUCCGUGCCAGCAGCCGCCGUAA